RNAcentral lists this ribosomal RNA (293 nucleotides) under uncultured bacterium. RNAcentral's name for it is "partial 16S ribosomal RNA". It matches the Rfam family "Bacterial small subunit ribosomal RNA", at positions 775 to 1067 of the family's 1533-position model. The record is from RNAcentral.
GGAUUAGAUACCCUGGUAGUCCACGCCCUAAACGAUGAGAACUAGCCGUUGGGAGCAUCUAAGCUCUUAGUGGCGCAGCUAACGCGUUAAGUUCUCCGCCUGGGGAGUACGGCCGCAAGGUUAAAACUCAAAGGAAUUGACGGGGGCCCGCACAAGCGGUGGAGCAUGUGGUUUAAUUCGAUGCAACGCGAAGAACCUUACCUGCCCUUGACAUUGACAGAACCCUGAAGAGAUUCGGGGGUGCCUUCGGGCCUGGAAAACAGGUGCUGCAUGGCUGUCGUCAGCUCGUGUUG